This 291-nucleotide ribosomal RNA is filed under the name uncultured microorganism. RNAcentral's name for it is "partial 16S ribosomal RNA". It matches the Rfam family "Bacterial small subunit ribosomal RNA", at positions 505 to 788 of the family's 1533-position model. The record is from RNAcentral.
GUGCCAGCAGCCGCGGUAAUACGUAGGGCGCAAGCGUUAUCCGGAAUUAUUGGGCGUAAAGAGCUCGUAGGCGGUUUGUCGCGUCUGCCGUGAAAGUCCGGGGCUCAACUCCGGAUCUGCGGUGGGUACGGGCAGACUAAGUGAUGUAGGGGAGACUGGAAUUCCUGGUGUAGCGGUGAAAUGCGCAGAUAUCAGGAGGAACACCGAUGGCGAAGGCAAGGUCUCUGGGCAUUAACUUGAACGCUGAGGAGCGAAAGCAUGGGGAGCGAAACCAAGGAUUAAGGAUAACCC